This 2891-nucleotide ribosomal RNA is filed under the name Pseudomonas sp. BIGb0427. Its description in RNAcentral is "23S ribosomal RNA". It matches the Rfam family "Bacterial large subunit ribosomal RNA". The record is from RNAcentral. RNAcentral also lists the same sequence under 5 other names. Lineage: Bacteria; Pseudomonadati; Pseudomonadota; Gammaproteobacteria; Pseudomonadales; Pseudomonadaceae.
GGUCAAGUGAAGAAGCGCAUACGGUGGAUGCCUUGGCAGUCAGAGGCGAUGAAAGACGUGGUAGCCUGCGAUAAGCUUCGGGGAGUCGGCAAACAGACUUUGAUCCGGAGAUCUCUGAAUGGGGGAACCCACUCAGCAUAAGCUGAGUAUCUUGUACUGAAUACAUAGGUGCAAGAGGCGAACCAGGGGAACUGAAACAUCUAAGUACCCUGAGGAAAAGAAAUCAACCGAGAUUCCCUUAGUAGUGGCGAGCGAACGGGGACUAGCCCUUAAGUGGCUUUGAGAUUAGCGGAACGCUCUGGAAAGUGCGGCCAUAGUGGGUGAUAGCCCUGUACGCGAAAAUCUCUUAGUCAUGAAAUCGAGUAGGACGGAGCACGAGAAACUUUGUCUGAAUAUGGGGGGACCAUCCUCCAAGGCUAAAUACUACUGACUGACCGAUAGUGAACCAGUACCGUGAGGGAAAGGCGAAAAGAACCCCGGAGAGGGGAGUGAAAUAGAUCCUGAAACCGUAUGCGUACAAGCAGUGGGAGCCUACUUUGUUAGGUGACUGCGUACCUUUUGUAUAAUGGGUCAGCGACUUAUAUUCAGUGGCGAGCUUAACCGAAUAGGGGAGGCGUAGCGAAAGCGAGUCUUAAUAGGGCGUUUAGUCGCUGGGUAUAGACCCGAAACCGGGCGAUCUAUCCAUGGGCAGGUUGAAGGUUAGGUAACACUGACUGGAGGACCGAACCGACUACCGUUGAAAAGUUAGCGGAUGACCUGUGGAUCGGAGUGAAAGGCUAAUCAAGCUCGGAGAUAGCUGGUUCUCCUCGAAAGCUAUUUAGGUAGCGCCUCAUGUAUCACUGUAGGGGGUAGAGCACUGUUUCGGCUAGGGGGUCAUCCCGACUUACCAAACCGAUGCAAACUCCGAAUACCUACAAGUGCCGAGCAUGGGAGACACACGGCGGGUGCUAACGUCCGUCGUGAAAAGGGAAACAACCCAGACCGUCAGCUAAGGUCCCAAAGUUAUGGUUAAGUGGGAAACGAUGUGGGAAGGCUUAGACAGCUAGGAGGUUGGCUUAGAAGCAGCCACCCUUUAAAGAAAGCGUAAUAGCUCACUAGUCGAGUCGGCCUGCGCGGAAGAUGUAACGGGGCUCAAACCAUACACCGAAGCUACGGGUAUCACUUAGGUGAUGCGGUAGAGGAGCGUUCUGUAAGCCUGUGAAGGUGAGUUGAGAAGCUUGCUGGAGGUAUCAGAAGUGCGAAUGCUGACAUGAGUAACGACAAUGGGAGUGAAAAACUCCCACGCCGAAAGACCAAGGUUUCCUGCGCAACGUUAAUCGACGCAGGGUUAGUCGGUCCCUAAGGCGAGGCUGAAAAGCGUAGUCGAUGGAAAACAGGUUAAUAUUCCUGUACUUCUGGUUAUUGCGAUGGAGGGACGGAGAAGGCUAGGCCAGCUUGGCGUUGGUUGUCCAAGUUUAAGGUGGUAGGCUGAGAUCUUAGGUAAAUCCGGGAUCUUAAGGCCGAGAGCUGAUGACGAGUUGCCAUUAGGCGACGAAGUGGUUGAUGCCAUGCUUCCAAGAAAAGCUUCUAAGCUUCAGAUAACCAGGAACCGUACCCCAAACCGACACAGGUGGUUGGGUAGAGAAUACCAAGGCGCUUGAGAGAACUCGGGUGAAGGAACUAGGCAAAAUGGCACCGUAACUUCGGGAGAAGGUGCGCCGGUGAGGGUGAAGGACUUGCUCCGUAAGCCCAUGCCGGUCGAAGAUACCAGGCCGCUGCGACUGUUUAUUAAAAACACAGCACUCUGCAAACACGAAAGUGGACGUAUAGGGUGUGACGCCUGCCCGGUGCCGGAAGGUUAAUUGAUGGGGUUAGCUAACGCGAAGCUCUUGAUCGAAGCCCCGGUAAACGGCGGCCGUAACUAUAACGGUCCUAAGGUAGCGAAAUUCCUUGUCGGGUAAGUUCCGACCUGCACGAAUGGCGUAACGAUGGCGGCGCUGUCUCCACCCGAGACUCAGUGAAAUUGAAAUCGCUGUGAAGAUGCAGUGUAUCCGCGGCUAGACGGAAAGACCCCGUGAACCUUUACUAUAGCUUUGCACUGGACUUUGAAUUUGCUUGUGUAGGAUAGGUGGGAGGCUUUGAAGCGUGGACGCCAGUUCGCGUGGAGCCAUCCUUGAAAUACCACCCUGGCAACUUUGAGGUUCUAACUCAGGUCCGUUAUCCGGAUCGAGGACAGUGUAUGGUGGGUAGUUUGACUGGGGCGGUCUCCUCCUAAAGAGUAACGGAGGAGUACGAAGGUGCGCUCAGACCGGUCGGAAAUCGGUCGUAGAGUAUAAAGGCAAAAGCGCGCUUGACUGCGAGACAGACACGUCGAGCAGGUACGAAAGUAGGUCUUAGUGAUCCGGUGGUUCUGUAUGGAAGGGCCAUCGCUCAACGGAUAAAAGGUACUCCGGGGAUAACAGGCUGAUACCGCCCAAGAGUUCAUAUCGACGGCGGUGUUUGGCACCUCGAUGUCGGCUCAUCACAUCCUGGGGCUGAAGCCGGUCCCAAGGGUAUGGCUGUUCGCCAUUUAAAGUGGUACGCGAGCUGGGUUUAGAACGUCGUGAGACAGUUCGGUCCCUAUCUGCCGUGGACGUUUGAGAUUUGAGAGGGGCUGCUCCUAGUACGAGAGGACCGGAGUGGACGAACCUCUGGUGUUCCGGUUGUCACGCCAGUGGCAUUGCCGGGUAGCUAUGUUCGGAAGAGAUAACCGCUGAAAGCAUCUAAGCGGGAAACUUGCCUCAAGAUGAGAUCUCACUGGAGCCUUGAGCUCCCUGAAGGGCCGUCGAAGACUACGACGUUGAUAGGUUGGGUGUGUAAGCGCUGUGAGGCGUUGAGCUAACCAAUACUAAUUGCCCGUGAGGCUUGACCAU